This 380-nucleotide unclassified non-coding RNA is filed under the name uncultured Gammaproteobacteria bacterium. Its description in RNAcentral is "contains 16S-23S intergenic spacer region". Lineage: Bacteria; Pseudomonadati; Pseudomonadota; Gammaproteobacteria. The record is from RNAcentral.
UCCCCGUUUUCCGGGACAGUCCCUGUAGAGUUCCCGGCAUGACCCGCUGGCAACUACAGGCAAGGGUUGCGCUCGUUGCGGGACUUAACCCAACAUCUCACGACACGAGCUGACGACAGCCAUGCAGCACCUGUGUGCCGGUUCUCUUGCGAGCACUCCCUGAUCUCUCAAGGAUUCCGGCCAUGUCAAGGGUAGGUAAGGUUUUUCGCGUUGCAUCGAAUUAAUCCACAUAAUCCACCGCUUGUGCGGGUCCCCGUCAAUUCCUUUGAGUUUUAACCUUGCGGCCGUACUCCCCAGGCGGUCGACUUCACGCGUUAGCUUCGUUACUGAGAGUGUCAAACCCCCAACAACCAGUCGACAUCGUUUAGGGCGUGGACUAC